This 437-nucleotide ribosomal RNA is filed under the name uncultured marine eukaryote. RNAcentral's name for it is "bacterial SSU rRNA". It matches the Rfam family "Eukaryotic small subunit ribosomal RNA", at positions 617 to 1060 of the family's 1831-position model. The record is from RNAcentral.
GGUUAAAACGCUCGUAGUUGUAUAUUUGUCGAGGACCGCCGGUCUACCCCAGCGGUCAGCACGCGGUUUGUUCUCGGCACCUUCCUGGAGAGAGUGUUUGCACUUCAUUGUGUGGCGCAUAACCCAGAACGUUUACUUUGAGGAAACGAGAGUGUUUCAAGCAGGCGCCUGUCGUGAAUACGUUAGCAUGGAAUAAUAGCAUGGGACCGUGGUCUGAAGCUGUUGGUUUUUGGAUCGCAGUAACGAAAAUAUGGAUAGUGGGGGGUAUUCGUAUUUGACUGUCAGAGGUGAAAUUCUUGGAUUUUUUAAAGACGGACUACUGCGAAAGCAUCUUCCCAGGAUGUUUUUAUUGAUCAAGAACGAAAGUUAGGGGAUCGAAGACGAUCAGAUACCGUCCUAGUCUUAACCUUAAACCAUGCCGACUAGAGAUUGGGUCG